GUGUGACAGGGCUAUCCCGAGUGCCAUCCGCUGAGGAAGGCUUUUACCCAGUCUAGAAAGCUGGGGGAAUAAGGAGAGGGCAAGUCUGGUGUCAGCCGCCGCGGUAAUACCAGCUCUCCGAGUGGUGUGGAUGUUUAUUGGGCCUAAAGCAUCCGUAGCUGGCUAAGUCAGUCCCUUGUUAAAUCCACCGAAUUAAUCAUUGGAUCGCGGGGGAUACUGCUUGGCUAGGGGACGAGAGAGGCAGACGGUAUUUUCGGGGUAGGGGUGAAAUCCUAUAAUCCCGGGAAGACCACCAGUGGCGAAGGCUGUCUGCUAGAACGCGCCCGACGGUGAGGGAUGAAAGCUGGGGGAGCGAACCGGAUUAGAUACCCGGGUAGUCCCAGCUGUAAACGAUGCAGGCUAGGUGUUUGGACGGCCACGUGCCGUUCUAGUGCCGCAGGGAAGCUGUUAAGCCUGCCGCCUGGGGAGUACGAUCGCAAGAUUGAAACUUAAAGGAAUUGGCGGGGGAGCAC
This 512-nucleotide ribosomal RNA is filed under the name uncultured archaeon. RNAcentral's name for it is "bacterial SSU rRNA". It matches the Rfam family "Archaeal small subunit ribosomal RNA", at positions 365 to 879 of the family's 1478-position model. The record is from RNAcentral.